Molecule: ribosomal RNA, 484 nt
Filed under: uncultured bacterium
Lineage: Bacteria
Description: partial 16S ribosomal RNA
Rfam family: Bacterial small subunit ribosomal RNA
Source: RNAcentral
AUUGAACGCUAGCGGGAUGCUUUACACAUGCAAGUCGAACGGCAGCGCGGACUUCGGUCUGGCGGCGAGUGGCGAACGGGUGAGUAAUGUAUCGGAACGUGCCCAGUAGCGGGGGAUAACUACGCGAAAGCGUAGCUAAUACCGCAUACGCCCUACGGGGGAAAGCAGGGGAUCGUAAGACCUUGCACUAUUGGAGCGGCCGAUAUCGGAUUAGCUAGUUGGUGAGGUAACGGCUCACCAAGGCGACGAUCCGUAGCUGGUUUGAGAGGACGACCAGCCACACUGGGACUGAGACACGGCCCAGACUCCUACGGGAGGCAGCAGUGGGGAAUUUUGGACAAAGGGGGCAACCCUGAUCCAGCCAUCCCGCGUGUGAGAUGAAGGCCUUCGGGUUGUAAAGCACUUUUGGCAGGAAAGAAACGUCGCGGGCUAAUACCCCGUGGAACUGACGGUACCUGCAGAAUAAGCACCGGCUAACUACGUG